Molecule: small RNA, 44 nt
Filed under: Arabidopsis thaliana (thale cress)
Lineage: Eukaryota; Viridiplantae; Streptophyta; Magnoliopsida; Brassicales; Brassicaceae
Description: ATSL109290
Source: RNAcentral
UAUCUCUUAAUUUAUCAUUAAAACCAAAAAACCAAAAAAAAAGC